Molecule: long non-coding RNA, 1146 nt
Organism: Mastomys coucha (southern multimammate mouse)
Lineage: Eukaryota; Metazoa; Chordata; Mammalia; Rodentia; Muridae
Exons: 3
Source: RefSeq, a predicted model, not a curated record
UGUUCAUCCUACUUCUAUGCAUCCUUGGGGGAAGUUUAUAUUUCGAAGCAACUUUCACAACAGUCAGCUUUUCCUUUCAGUGGCUUCCUCUUUCUUCGCGGCCCAACUCGAUCAACUCAAAAUUGUUGGGUUAUAGUUGACUCUCUAACCGGCUCUGUGUCUGAAAUGACACUGGAAGGCUUUCAUUAAGUAAUUUACGAGGAACGGAGUUAAUUGGGGGAGAGGAGUGGAACUGUCUCAGCCCGGUAACAGCAUGCGAUCUUGGGUCUUAUGAAGAUUUCAUGUACAUGUUUUAGACUGUCACGUUGUUGUUCCUAUUGCACUCAGAAUAGCACAAACACAGCUUAGAAACAAAAGCGUCAAACUGCUUGUGAAAAGGCUGCGUCCUAAAUCUAGCAGCAUUGAAAACUUAGUGUAAGUGGCUUGGCUCUUGGAUGGCUCAGCUGGGAUGAUGGCUCAGACGCAUCAUUUGACUGACGCAAAGCAUGAGUCAGCUUGGGAGAAACUUUACGGCUUUGGAGGACCUUCUCAGGGAGGGUAAGAACUCAAACAGCCUUCCUUGGGUCAUUCCUUUCUGCUACACUGUUUAUAAAAGUACAUGGAAACCGAAGUAAGGUUGCCUACAGCAUCAGACUCUAGUCGGGCCCCAUCCUUUCAGGUCCUCAGAAUCCAGGUCCAGCAGACAAGAUCUGCACAGGUCGAUGCAAGUGGACACAGGAUUACCUCUCUUCUGUUUACGUUGGUUUUAUUGUUUGAGAUCCCGUAGUCCAGGCUGGCCUUGAACUAGAUAUACAGCUAAGUAAAGGAUGAUCAUCCUGCCCUCCCCACCUCCCAAGAGCUGGGAUGGCAAGUGUGCACCUCCAUUCCUCGUUUAUUCAGCGCUGGGGCGUCAAUCCAGGACAACGCGCUUGCUAGGCAACAUGUAUGCUAAGCAAGCUCUGUACUGACUGAGCUACACCCCAGCCCUCUCUAUCCACUUUCUUUUUCUUUUUCUUUUUCUUUUUUAACCAUCUGGAGAAACAAGUUGGGGAAUAAAUUACAUAGGGAUUUGGAAAUAAAAAGAAUAAAUAUAUGUGCCAGAACCAUUUUUAAUACUGAAGAUUUUUAAAUGUAGCUGACAAUGUUAUUAAAAUGUUACUGUACCGA